RNAcentral lists this transfer RNA (70 nucleotides) under Marmota monax (woodchuck). It matches the Rfam family "tRNA". From Rfam's summary of the family: Transfer RNA (tRNA) molecules are approximately 80 nucleotides in length. Their secondary structure includes four short double-helical elements and three loops (D, anti-codon, and T loops). The record is from Rfam by way of RNAcentral. Lineage: Eukaryota; Metazoa; Chordata; Mammalia; Rodentia; Sciuridae.
GGAAAUGUAGCUCAGCUGGUAGAGUGCUUGCCUCACAUGUACAAGGCCCUGGGUUCAAUCCCCAGCACCA